Molecule: long non-coding RNA, 1413 nt
Organism: Lynx canadensis (Canada lynx)
Lineage: Eukaryota; Metazoa; Chordata; Mammalia; Carnivora; Felidae
Exons: 3
Source: RefSeq, a predicted model, not a curated record
GUCCAGCUCAGCCCGUCUUCAAGUGGAGAGAAGCCGCCACGUGGCCCCAUUGGUUGCUUCUGACGAAUCAGGGGAAAGGAAGAAGUAGAAGACGAAUGUGCACGUGACGUCAUCUGGCCCCGAGAUCGCCCACCGGUCUUGCCAAUGGACCUCAAACUCAGAGAAACCCGGGGAGGAGCACUCUUUGCCGUAGGAACCAAGGGAUGCAGCUGUGUUGAGAACAUACUAGAGGAAAGCAGAGGUCAAGCAGGCGGACGCACAACAGAAAGGCUGGUGGGAGGCUGCUGACACGUGCUCUCGUGUGUAAACACAAGGAGGCGGCAGAAUUGGAGGCGGCUGGGCACCUGAAGUGAGCCUGCAGCUUGGAGUGACCCGGGGCAGGAGGGCCAAACCCCAGCUCUGCCCUUCAGCCCCACACAGACAGGAUUGAGCAGAAGGACCGGUUUGGAAGCGUCCCCUGAGACAGGAGGGACGGUGGGCGAUCUCCCUUCUCUCUGGGGCUGGAGGUUCACCGGGUCACCUUCGAGCCUGCAUCAGUGCCAUCACCAAGAGCACCUGGCCUACUCCCCGCCAGCCCACGGCGUUCGGAACGAACGGGGAGUCGCCCUUCUGAGUUCUGAGAUUUUCCGCUCAUAGGCAACCAGGGAAAACUUUUGGAGCCAAGGUGCAGUAUCGGCCUCCCACCCAACCGUCCCAUCCCCACACUGGAUGCUGGCAUUGUUCUCCGUGUCUCUGGGCACCUCGUGCCAGCACCUCACCAACCAAAACAGAAAGAGUUGACUUGAGGGCCGGUCCCUUGAGCACAGGGAACCAAAUCAUGCCCCCAAAUCAUGGGCAGCAUGGCCACUAUGCCUUUGAGUUGAAGACAAACUCUGUGGGGUUGUGCUUCCAAAUCAGGAUCCAGGGGACAGAGUCCUGUCCUAUCUCCCCUGUAAGAUGAGACAGGGAGGCUCUGGUCCUACCCCAUUCCUCCACCGCCAGGGAGCCAGAGUCCCACACGGCCCGUCCUGUUCCUUCUAUGAUCUCACAGUUGUCCCUCCACAUUCCCCUCUCCCAUUCACCCAGCUCCAGCCUCCCAAUCCCUGCUGCCCUUCCGAAGCUGCCAGGCACGACCCCCUCGGGGACACUGCACCUGCUACUCCGUCAGUCCCCAGAUGUCUGCCCGGCUCACUCCCUCCCUUCCUGGGACUCCCCCCAAACAGUAUGUAGCCUUCCCGGCUGCCCUUCUCCUAUGCUCUGUACCCCCGACCCCUUCACCUCCUCUCAGGGCACAGGCCACCCUCUGAGACAUCCCCAAGCUCACCUACUCAUCCUGUCGACUGCCUGAACCCCUCCUCGUGCUAGAAUAUAAACUCCAGGAAGGCAAAGGUCUGUGACUGUUUUAACGGCUGUGUCCCAGCACCCAGGACAGCA